RNAcentral lists this long non-coding RNA (791 nucleotides) under Danio rerio (zebrafish). RNAcentral's name for it is "lncRNA si:dkeyp-34b8.1 (ENSDARG00000096998.3)". The record is from RNAcentral. Lineage: Eukaryota; Metazoa; Chordata; Actinopteri; Cypriniformes; Danionidae.
AUGUUUGGUCCAUUUUCCCAAAGAUUGAGGCCAUUAAAAACCACAAUCAGGACACAAGAUCUGUUGGCUCUUUGGAUGUGGAUGUGUGCCAAAUCAACAAAGAGCUUUGGGGCUCUACAGUGAAGUUGGCAUCCUGUCAUCACGGCAUUGAGCUGCAAGAGCAUUUUUCCAAGUCCCAACGGUGUCAACAGAAAACCCCGAACAUCUCAAGAGAGCCGAUAGUGUCAUGUGCGUCUGUUCAACACCAGCAAUCACCCGUGCCAUUAAAGAUUGAAGAGCAACAGUCUCUUUCAGCACACUAACAUUACGCCAAGGCAAACAGCAAGAGUGGAGACUGGAGAAAAGAAAAGGGCAGCGAGAAAGCUAGAAAUAGACAUUGCAUAAAGUCAGAACCAUGCGUUUGGUUUUGCGACAGUGUUUGGGUCGAUGGCGCUUUUGGUUGUCGCAGGACUCUGACAGAUAAACAGACGGAUGUGUCGUCCCCUCAGUGGAGGAAAUCUGCUCUCCGUAUAGAGCCAAACUGACAUCAGAGAUACCAUGUGUGAACGCAACAUGCGACAAAACAGAGAGAAGUGCGAGUUCUCCUGGAAAUGCACAUGAUGACACAAUGUAGAGCAAAUGCAUGGAUGCUGAGGCUGGGAGAUUGUUACGAUUUCAUUGAUUGAUUUUGAUGUAAUGUUUUGAAAGCUAAAUGGUACAAUUAAAUAUGUUGUAUAUGCAACAGUGAUGAUAAAUGCAAUAGCCAAACGAAUGAAAGCUUGUUUCUAAUAAUAAAUAUAAUAGAGAAAAAC